Molecule: ribosomal RNA, 491 nt
Filed under: uncultured bacterium
Lineage: Bacteria
Description: bacterial SSU rRNA
Rfam family: Bacterial small subunit ribosomal RNA
Source: RNAcentral
GCUGGCGGCGUGCUUAAUGCAUGCAAGUCGAACGAGAACCUUUUUUGUAGGUAACUACAGAGAGACUUCUAGUGGCGAACGGGUGAGUAACACGUGAGAAACCUGCCCCGAAGACCGGGAUAGCCCAUGGAAACGUGGAUUAAUACCGGAUACCCUCACGGAAUCGCAUGGUUCUGUGAGGAAAUGCUCCGGCGCUUUGGGAUGGUCUCGCGGCCUAUCAGCUUGUUGGUGAGGUAACGGCUCACCAAGGCACUGACGGGUAGCUGGUCUGAGAGGACGAUCAGCCACACUGGGACUGAGACACGGCCCAGACUCCUACGGGAGGCAGCAGCAGGGAAUAUUGCACAAUGGGCGCAAGCCUGAUGCAGCGACGCCGCGUGAGGGAUGAAGGCUUUCGGGUUGUAAAGCACUUUCAGCAGGGAGGAGGGCUUACCCCUAAUACGGGUGAGUACUUGACGUUACCUGCAGAAGAAGCACCGGCUAAUUUCGUG